CCUACGGGAGGCAGCAGUGGGGAAUAUUGGACAAUGGAGGCAACCCUGAUCCAGCCAUGCCGCGUGUGUGAAGAAGGCCCUCGGGUUGUAAAGCACUUUCAGUGAGGAAGAACGCCUGGUGGUUAAUACCCAUCAGGAAAGACAUCACUCACAGAAGAAGCACCGGCUAACUCCGUGCCAGCAGCCGCGGUAAUACGGAGGGUGCGAGCGUUAAUCGGAAUUACUGGGCGUAAAGCGCGCGUAGGUGGCUUGAUAAGCCGGUUGUGAAAGCCCCGGGCUCAACCUGGGAACGGCAUCCGGAACUGUCAAGCUAGAGUGCAGGAGAGGAAGGUAGAAUUCCCGGUGUAGCGGUGAAAUGCGUAGAGAUCGGGAGGAAUACCAGUGGCGAAGGCGGCCUUCUGGACUGACACUGACACUGAGGUGCGAAAGCGUGGGUAGCAAACAGGAUUAGAUACCCUUGUAGUC
Molecule: ribosomal RNA, 465 nt
Filed under: Vreelandella stevensii
Lineage: Bacteria; Pseudomonadati; Pseudomonadota; Gammaproteobacteria; Oceanospirillales; Halomonadaceae
Description: partial 16S ribosomal RNA
Rfam family: Bacterial small subunit ribosomal RNA
Source: RNAcentral